RNAcentral lists this ribosomal RNA (403 nucleotides) under uncultured bacterium. RNAcentral's name for it is "partial 16S ribosomal RNA". It matches the Rfam family "Bacterial small subunit ribosomal RNA", at positions 30 to 526 of the family's 1533-position model. The record is from RNAcentral.
AUUGAACGCUGGCGGCAGGCCUAACACAUGCAAGUCGAGCGAGCGGCGGACGGGUGAGUAAUGUCUGGGGAAUGCCAGAUAGAGGGGGAUAACUAAUGGAAACGGUGGCUAAUACCGCAUAAUAUCAGAUAACCCAUAUGGGAUUAGCUAGUAGGUGGGGUACAGUCUAAACUAGGCGCCGAUCUCUUGCUGGUCUGAGAGGAUGGUCAGCCACACUGGGACUGUAACACGUCCCCUACUCCUACGUGGGCAGCAGUGGGGAAUAUUGCACACUGGGCGCAAGCCGGAUGCAGCCAUGCGGCGGGUAUGAAGAAGGCCUUAGGGUUUUAAAGUACUUUCAGCGGGGAGGCGUUACCCGCAGAAGAAGCACCGGCGAACUCCGUGCCAGCCGCCGCGGUAAUAC